Long non-coding RNA from Bradysia coprophila, 514 nucleotides. RefSeq lists it as uncharacterized. NCBI's taxonomy places the organism in Eukaryota, Metazoa, Arthropoda, Insecta, Diptera, Sciaridae. The record is from RefSeq and is a predicted model, not a curated record.
UACAAACUAUAUUUUGCAUCAGUUCUAUCAGUAGAUUGCUAACAAUUCCGGCUAAGCUCUGGUUAAACUUACUUGAGCGUCAUACUAAAUAAGUUCAUCAUUUAUCUUACGUAUCCAAAAUGGCUGGCAAGGUGUCGACAUUUGUUUUCGUUUUCUUCUUCCUUUUCGCAAUAGUGCCAUUUGGGAUAUCGACUCCCAUUGACUUGAAUAAUGAGGUAGAACAUGUUCGAAUGAGGCGUGGAACGAAGCAGCCAGGAGAUCUGUGCGAUGUUAACUGGAAUCCAGCUGGUCAAAGUGAAUGCGCAGGAAAUUCACGUUGUUUUCUUUGUUUUGUUGCUGCAUGCGGAGAAAAUAGAGGCCGCGCUAUUUGUCAAUAACACGUUCAUUUUCGAUCACUUGUUUAGAGAAAAUAAAAAGAUUUUCUAACCAUUUGGACCCAUUUUUAUCGUUAGAAAAUGCAUGUCGUUUUAAUACAAAUCAGCUUCUCUGUCAAUAAAUGUCAAUCCGACAGAAA